UUUUAAAAGAGGAAACAAACUAAAUGUGUCAAAGACAGUGAAGAACUUUAUGAAAACUUGUUGAAAAAACAAACAAUAAAUUUCAAAUUAUUUUGGAAUUAUUUAGCUAGUAAUAUAAACUUAGUAGCUAUUAUCAUGACAAUGCCUCAGUUCAUUUUACUCUAUUCAUUGGUAAAAUGGAGAUAAUUUCCAGGGCUGCUGUGAGAACUAAAAGAGGUAAAGAACAUGUAAGCUGUGUUUUAAUUGUUUAUGUUCAUCACAACAUGCAGGAUAAAAGGCCUUCAGAUUCCCCUCAGUUGUUGGAAGUAGCAUACAAACUAUGCCACAAGCCAACUUCAUUCCUCUGCUGUGGUGAACCAAUCCCCCACCCCACCUACCACAUCACUACAGAUUUCUCUGGACACCUAAAUGUGCCAGUGUUCCAGUUUGUCUACUACAGAGGUUUGCAUGAAGACCUUCUACCUGAUUUAGAGCACUAGUUUAUGUGGAGGAAGAGAGACAGAGAGGGAGAGAAUGAGAAUCCCACGUUCAAUGCGGGGCUCGACCUCACGAGAACCUGAGAUCAUGACCUGAGUGGAAAUCAAGACUCAGAUGCUUAACCUCAGACGCUUAACCGACUCUGUCACCCAGGAACCCAGAUUUAUUUUCCUCUUAAAACAAACUUGAAUAUCUAUUGGAUAAAUGUAUACAGCAGAGGAAUCCUUUACAUUAAAGACAAAUUCCCAGAGAAGCACAAAGAAUGAUGAUGGGUCCUCUGGAGAACGCAAUGGAGCAAAAGGAAGGAACUGUUUGUCCCCAACUGACUGUUUUCUGCAUGAUGUUGGGUGGAACCAAUGAAUAUGAAGAGAUAUCACUUCUGUAAUUAUGUUAUAUAUAAAAUGGAUAGUAUCUACGUGGGCCUCACCUAAUCAAACAAGUUAUUUAAAAUCAUAGAAUUUUCCUUGACUGUUUACAGAAGAGGAAGUGAGAGACCCAAGGCACAAGAAAAAUUAACUUCACUAUUGCUGGGUCAAAGAUGGACGAGUCCACGUGGCAAGAAAUUAGAGUAAGAUUGGAGAGCACCUCUAGGAUCUGAGAGCACCCCUAGCUGACAGCCAUCAAGGAAAUUGGGACUGUAGUCCAACACUCACGAGGAACAAGAAUAAUCUUGGAAGCAGAUUUGCCCCAGAAUCUCCAAAGACCUCAAUCCAACCUACAUGGACACCUUGAUUCCAGCCUUGUGAACUCCUGAGGAGAGAACACGAUCAUGCUGUGCUAGAUUUCUGACCUACAGGCUUAUGAGCUAAUACAUGGGUAUAGCUUUCAGCCAUGAAGUUUGGGUGUAGACGGUAACUAGAGAAAAUGCAUUACCAUGAUAAUAGUUUUUAUAGUGCAUGGUGGGGUUGAAGGUUAUGAAUAUAUUCACACUAGCAUUUGGAUGUACUUUCUACAUUUCUAAAUGGAUUAUGGGUUACUUGCUAAUUAGAAAUAAAGCCCUUAGAAUUUAUUCAUGUCAAAUAUGUUAUAUUUCAGACUUUUAAAAAGGUAUAGUAAAUACUACAAUAGGCAAACAUGUAUAUAACCAAAGUUAUGAAGUAAAACAUUACAGAAAGUA
Long non-coding RNA from Neofelis nebulosa (Clouded leopard), 1594 nucleotides. RefSeq lists it as uncharacterized. The transcript has 5 exons. The record is from RefSeq and is a predicted model, not a curated record. NCBI's taxonomy places the organism in Eukaryota, Metazoa, Chordata, Mammalia, Carnivora, Felidae.